Homo sapiens (human) is the source of this 570-nucleotide long non-coding RNA. NCBI's taxonomy places the organism in Eukaryota, Metazoa, Chordata, Mammalia, Primates, Hominidae. The record is from Ensembl.
AAGGAAAAUCGUUUGGGUAAACAGCCAAGCUUCCAGGCUUAACGCCCGGCUCCCGCCCCCGCCCCUCCAUCCCCUCCUGCCUCCCCCACUCGCCUUCAACCCCACCCGCCACCCACACUCGGCUCCGCAGCCGGGCCCCGAGCGAGCUCCGCGAGUCCUGGCGAGAGCCGAGGGCUCCCCGGGUUCAAAGGGCCGCAGCCCCGAGGGAACGCCCUCCUUGCUGUGCCCCGGGGGGCAGAAGCGGACUGCUGGGCGGUGGGACCGGCCUGGGCCACGGAACAGAUGUGGACUUGGGCUGUCCACCCCCACCCACUCUUGCUGAGGUGUCUCACUACUGCCCAGACAUGUGAAUUCAUGUGAGAGCUGGUAUGAGUUGUGGUCACAGGACAAAGGAGGCUAACCGGGCAUGAUUCUCAACUUUGGCUUCAAUCAUGCCAUUUUCUACCAACUAAGCCUCUAGAGUCAAACUUGAAGAACUAUCACGUGGAACUCUUGAAGAAUGGACUUUCUUUCCACAGUGAAUACUUCAUUGAUUUUCGCUGGUUCCCUGAAUAAAGCAGCAACAAACCC